GUUGUCUUGGUGUUUUAUCACGGGAAACAUUGGAGUCACUGGGAAUCUAGCAGACUGCAGACUGGUGGCCAGGAGCUGCUACCUCAGGCAGGGAGGGUGGAGAGGCAUGGGGCCUCUCCUGUCUGAGGCUACCACAUGAGGCAAGGACUUCUCUGGACCUGGAGGAGGACCGGAUUCAGAAGCCAGGAUGCCAUAGUGGGGUAGACUUCUGCCUGGGCCAUGCUGGCUCUGUGAAGAGAUUUUUUUUUUUUCCCUGUGCCAAGCAUGGUCGGCCUUUUGACACUUGCCAAGACAUUCAAAGUUCACGAUGAGAACUAUGCAAUGGAGUUACCAAAAAAAAAAAAUUUUUUUUUCCCCAAAACCUAUCUUUCUCAUAUUUUGGAGUUCUGACCCGAGCUGCUGACCCAGAAGACGAAAUGAGAAGAUAGAUAGACUGGAAAGUUCAUUCCGGCUUAAUCCCGGUGGAAUUUCAUCAGAGCUCCUGGAGAGUUUGACAGCAGCAUGCCCGGGAGGGAGCUGGGGCGGGAGGAGAGGCGCUUCCCCAGGAAGUGAUUAGCCAGGCAGACCUGUUGUCCUAUGGAGGCGCACGUUACCCGGCGGAUGUAAUUACCCAUUCGCUCUGUUAUUAGCUGGGGUAAGAGAUUGAGGCUCUCGCCCUGCUCCUGCAUUUCAAAGCUUACUCACACGCCCGCAUCCCUGAUAUUAAAGCACAAUGAGACUUUUUUGAAUUCAAUUAA
RNAcentral lists this long non-coding RNA (737 nucleotides) under Mus caroli (Ryukyu mouse). Its description in RNAcentral is "lncRNA (MGP_CAROLIEiJ_G0004831.1)". Lineage: Eukaryota; Metazoa; Chordata; Mammalia; Rodentia; Muridae. The record is from RNAcentral.